GACGAACGCUGGCGGCGUGCCUAAUACAUGCAAGUCGAGCGAAGAGGAUUUGUUCUUGCACCGAUUUGGAGAGCAGCGAACGUGUGUGUAACGCGUGUGUAAUCUCCCUUUCAUCGGGGGAAAACCUUUGGAAACGGACGCUAAUACCGCAUAACAUCUUGAAACAUGAUGUUGAAUGGUGAAAGAUGCCAUUUCAUCACGCACACGUGGUUCCUCGUCGUAUUAGUGAGGUGGUGAGGUAAAAGCGCUCCAAGGGGAUGAUACAUAGCGAGACUGAGAGGGUGGUCGGCCAGCUUGGGACUGAGACCGGGCACAAAGUGAUACGGGAGGCAGCCGUAGGGAAUCUUCGGCCAUGGACGAAAGUCUGGCCGAGCAACGCCGCGUGAGUGAAGAAGGUUUUCGGAUCGUAAAACUCUGUUGGUAGAGAAGAAAGUUGGUGAGAGUGGAAAGAUCAUCAAGUGACGGUAACUACCCAGAAAGCGACGGCUAACUACGUG
This 497-nucleotide ribosomal RNA is filed under the name uncultured bacterium. Its description in RNAcentral is "partial 16S ribosomal RNA". It matches the Rfam family "Bacterial small subunit ribosomal RNA", at positions 28 to 507 of the family's 1533-position model. The record is from RNAcentral.